RNAcentral lists this long non-coding RNA (206 nucleotides) under Lathyrus oleraceus (garden pea). RNAcentral describes it as "Pisum sativum (pea) long non-coding RNA (PSAT_LNC025072)". The record is from RNAcentral. Lineage: Eukaryota; Viridiplantae; Streptophyta; Magnoliopsida; Fabales; Fabaceae.
UCUUUGUGAACCAAGAGUUUUUUGUGUUGUGAAACCAAACACUUAAUUCCUUUCUUUUCGGUUAUUCCAAUACAAUGACACCAUGCCUUAGGCCCCUCACUUGUUGGUUUAUACCAUUUUUACUCUUGGGUUCAUACUUUCACCCUUGUUGGAGCUCAAACAACAUUAUCCUUUGGUUUAGACCAUACUGUUAUCACAAAUCUUUU